RNAcentral lists this ribosomal RNA (558 nucleotides) under Pseudomonas sp. FPVC16. RNAcentral's name for it is "bacterial SSU rRNA". It matches the Rfam family "Bacterial small subunit ribosomal RNA", at positions 31 to 586 of the family's 1533-position model. Lineage: Bacteria; Pseudomonadati; Pseudomonadota; Gammaproteobacteria; Pseudomonadales; Pseudomonadaceae. The record is from RNAcentral.
GACCAGUGGGGGCGGGCUACACAUGCAAGUCGAGCGGCAGCGGGUCCUUCGGGAUGCCGGCGAGCGGCGGACGGGUGAGUAAUGCCUAGGAAUCUGCCUGGUAGUGGGGGAUAACGUUCGGAAACGGGCGCUAAUACCGCAUACGUCCUACGGGAGAAAGUGGGGGAUCUUCGGACCUCACGCUAUCAGAUGAGCCUAGGUCGGAUUAGCUAGUUGGUGGGGUAAAGGCUCACCAAGGCGACGAUCCGUAACUGGUCUGAGAGGAUGAUCAGUCACACUGGAACUGAGACACGGUCCAGACUCCUACGGGAGGCAGCAGUGGGGAAUAUUGGACAAUGGGCGAAAGCCUGAUCCAGCCAUGCCGCGUGUGUGAAGAAGGUCUUCGGAUUGUAAAGCUCUUUAAGUUGGGAGGAAGGGCAGUAAGUUAAUACCUUGCUGUUUUGACGUUACCCACAGAAUAAGCACCGGCUAACUCUGUGCCAGCAGCCGCGGUAAUACUGUGGGUGAAAGCGUUAAUCGGAAUUACUGGGCGUAAAGCGCGCCUAACCGGUUCAAAUG